This 333-nucleotide ribosomal RNA is filed under the name Crataegus spathulata. Its description in RNAcentral is "eukaryotic LSU rRNA". The record is from RNAcentral. Lineage: Eukaryota; Viridiplantae; Streptophyta; Magnoliopsida; Rosales; Rosaceae.
UGGAGAAUCUCAUGAAUCAUCGAGUCCCUGAACGCAAGUUGCACCUGAAGCCAUUAAGNCGAUGGCGCAUCUGCUUGGGCGUCACAAGCCAGUGCCCCUCCUGGCACCUGCCUUGGAAGAGUCGGUGGGCGAACGAUGUCUUUCAGUGCGUCACCACGCGUGGUUGGCACAAAUGUUUAGUCCCCGGCGACAAACGCCACAAUAUCAUUGGUUGUCAAACCUCAGUUGCCUGUUGUGCACUUUCAUCGAGCUCUGGGCGGCUCACGAUGCUCACUACUCUACUUCGACGGAGCCUUCAACGCCACCCCAGGUCAGGUAGGGAUACCNGCUAAA